ACUCCUACGGGAGGCAGCAGUGGGGAAUUUUGCGCAAUGGGCGAAAGCCUGACGCAGCGACGCCGCGUGAGGGAAGAAGGUUUUCGGAUCGUAAACCUCUGUCGGGGGGGAAGAAACUAUCGGCGACCAAUACUCGCCGGUAUUGACGGUACCCCCUAAGGAAGCAUCGGCUAACUACGUGCCAGCAGCCGCGGUAAUACGUAGGAUGCAAGCGUUGUUCGGAAUUAUUGGGCGUAAAGGGCGCGUAGGUGGCCCUGUAAGUCAUGGGUGAAAUCCCACGGCUUAACCGAGGAAUUGCCUAUGAUACUGCAGGGCUUGAGUACGGGAAAGGGAAGUGGAAUUCCUGGUGUAGCGGUGAAAUGCGUAGAUAUCAGGAGGAACACCGGUGGCGAAGGCGGCUUCCUGGACCGAUACUGACACUGAGGCGCGAAAGCGUGGGUAGCAAACAGGAUUAGAUACCCUGGUAGUC
This 469-nucleotide ribosomal RNA is filed under the name uncultured bacterium. Its description in RNAcentral is "bacterial SSU rRNA". It matches the Rfam family "Bacterial small subunit ribosomal RNA", at positions 335 to 795 of the family's 1533-position model. The record is from RNAcentral.